RNAcentral lists this ribosomal RNA (801 nucleotides) under unidentified microorganism. RNAcentral's name for it is "bacterial SSU rRNA". It matches the Rfam family "Bacterial small subunit ribosomal RNA", at positions 53 to 835 of the family's 1533-position model. The record is from RNAcentral.
ACAUGCAAGUCGAGCGGACAGAUGGGAGCUUGCUCCCUGAUGUNAGCGGCGGACGGGUGAGUAACACGUGGGUAACCUGCCUGUAAGACUGGGAUAACUCCGGGAAACCGGGGCUAAUACCGGAUGCUUGAUUGAACCGCAUGGUUCAAUUAUAAAAGGUGGCUUUUAGCUACCACUUACAGAUGGACCCGCGGCGCAUUAGCUAGUUGGUGAGGUAACGGCUCACCAAGGCAACGAUGCGUAGCCGACCUGAGAGGGUGAUCGGCCACACUGGGACUGAGACACGGCCCAGACUCCUACGGGAGGCAGCAGUAGGGAAUCUUCCGCAAUGGACGAAAGUCUGACGGAGCAACGCCGCGUGAGUGAUGAAGGUUUUCGGAUCGUAAAACUCUGUUGUUAGGGAAGAACAAGUACCGUUCGAAUAGGGCGGUACCUUGACGGUACCUAACCAGAAAGCCACGGCUAACUACGUGCCAGCAGCCGCGGUAAUACGUAGGUGGCAAGCGUUGUCCGGAAUUAUUGGGCGUAAAGCGCGCGCAGGCGGUUUCUUAAGUCUGAUGUGAAAGCCCCCGGCUCAACCGGGGAGGGUCAUUGGAAACUGGGGAACUUGAGUGCAGAAGAGGAGAGUGGAAUUCCACGUGUAGCGGUGAAAUGCGUAGAGAUGUGGAGGAACACCAGUGGCGAAGGCGACUCUCUGGUCUGUAACUGACGCUGAGGCGCGAAAGCGUGGGGAGCGAACAGGAUUAGAUACCCUGGUAGUCCACGCCGUAAACGAUGAGUGCUAAGUGUUAGAGGGUUUCC